GACACAUUUGUAUGGAGGAGGGGA
Molecule: non-coding RNA, 24 nt
Filed under: Rattus norvegicus (Norway rat)
Lineage: Eukaryota; Metazoa; Chordata; Mammalia; Rodentia; Muridae
Source: RNAcentral